ACCGUUAACUUUCCUUUGCAAACUGUUGAAGAAUUUGAACGAAAUCUUGUCGAGUCCUUGGAAGUACAAAAAUUCUACAUUAAUGAGAUAAAGAUGAUCGGCGGAUCUGAUGCAGGCAAAUUCACCAGAGCCACAUUGCGCCUCUUAAUGUCGAAUCAGCUAGCAAUAAAGUAUUUUUGGUCCGGUCAAAGAAACACAUUAAAAUUUCAAACUACUCGAAUUUCUUAACUCAUUGUCGAAACCAUCUC
This is a long non-coding RNA of Temnothorax curvispinosus, 248 nucleotides long. RefSeq lists it as uncharacterized. The record is from RefSeq and is a predicted model, not a curated record. NCBI's taxonomy places the organism in Eukaryota, Metazoa, Arthropoda, Insecta, Hymenoptera, Formicidae. The transcript has 3 exons.